GGGUGCGGGCCAAGAGGAUUUGAUGUGUGGAGCAGGAAGAGCAAAGAUCAGGACGGGAACGGAGAUCCCAGAAAGCCUGAACGUAAGCUUCGCAGGAUGACUCCAGGAGCCAGGCAGAGGACUACCUCGGCUCGGCCGAGUCUAGGGCGAGGCGUCCAGAAGGUUUAGCACCGGAAGGUUAAUCGCCGUGGCCACUAGAGAGGGAAAAGAAAAUGAGUAUCUUACAGAAAAGCGGUUUGGUUGGACAUAGCAUCCCUGAAUCAUUUUAUCUGGGUGCUAGUUGCAGCAUGGGCAUGGAUAGGAAUGCCCAGUGAAGGAGAAAAGGCAAGAAGAAGACAAGGAAGGAGGUGAGUAUAGGGCCAUGGGGACUGCUUCAUUACAUGGUCUGACAGAAAGCCACCAACAGGACAAGGAGCCAUGAGGCUCAAGAAGAGGAAUGUAGUGCUGUGUUACGGUCAUUGCUUUGAUCAAUGCUGUCUUGGACAUCAGAAUACACUCUAGCUAAUUUAAAUAAAAGACAUGUAUUAAAAGUCACUAGCAAUUCAUAGAAUUGUUAGGAAAAGCAAGGACACAGAGGCUAGGCUGAGCUUCCAGGAAUAACUGUCAGAGGAGCUGCUGCCUCUGCCAUCAUCAGGGAGUCAUUGAUCUGGAAGCUAUGUCCCUGCUAUCAGCUGGAGAACCUUCCUGCCCCACUGCAAUGCACACCAGCAAAAAGCGAUGCCUCUAGCCCUGCCUUCCUGCCCAGCAUCUCAGUUUCAAAUAACAGUCUCAGAGAGGCGUCUGAUGGGUGGAAUUGAAACCUCAACUGGAAACAGUGGAGAGGGAAUAUGGAAAAUGUCAUUUUUAGCUUUCUCCCUGCUGCCAAGAAGGUAUGCAAAGCAGAAAUAGAAUGAAUGCUGAAUGAGUCAGCCCACAGUAUCUUCCUCAGAAGGAAAAGAAGGCCUGUGUUUCAAGGAGGGAGUGGUUAGGCUGGCAGUGUCAGACGAUGCUGAAAGAGCCAAUGAGCCUUUCUGGAAUUUAGUGAUGGCAGGACACCUCAACAAAGCUGAACCAGUGCAUUCACGGAAGUGGAGUCCUUGAAGAAUGAAUGUAAAAUAAGAAUAUGAGGACAACACGUAUCAUCAAGUGUUUUCAGAAACUUGGCUGUACAGAGAUGAAAGAGACAGGGCAGAGCUGCAGGGGUGAGGGGUGUGAAGGGACAACACAGAGUCAUUUUCCCUUCUUCUCCUUUGACUCGGGUUGGUUUGGUUUCUAGAUAUCUAAAAACCUAUGAGAAAGUCGUUUGAGGCAGGAAUUGGAUAAAAAGAUAAAAUAGAUCAUUAGAAGGGGGAAAGGGCUAAUCCAUACAGUGAGGUUUCUGAGAAGGCAGCUGGGGUGGGGGCAGGGAGGCCUAGAGCACAGGUGGAGAGUGAGCCUGGUGUGGAGUUAGCUGAUUCUCCCCAGAGCAAGACGAGGAUGUGGAGGGUGGAAGCGGCCUCACAGACAUGGUAGGAGAAAGACAGGCACUGCCAUCUGGUAGCUUAUAUUUUCUCUGUGAAGUGGGAUGCUCAGUCAUUGGCUGAGAGGGAGGAGGAGGAGUGGGCAGCUGAGAGAGAGGAGAGGAUCCGCUCGAUGGCUCCUCUGGAGAGUGAGAGGGCGAGGGGGGCCACAGACACAGCAAGGGGUGAGCAUCACACCCUGUGAGCAUGGCAGGACCUGCGCGCUGGUGUGUGGCACUCCUGGAGCAGAAGCUAUACACAACACACACACACACACACACACACAGAGAGACAAACACAGAUGCAGACAUACAGACAUGCACACACACAGACACACAGAGACAGACACACACAGAGACACAUAUACAGACACACACACAGACAUAGAAACACAGACACACAUAUACACAGAAACACAGACAUAGACCCACACACACAGAAACACACAGACCCCCCUACACACGGGCACACAGACAUACAUAUGUAUGAUACUUGGGUUUUUGCCAGAUGGGUACAACACAAAGAAAACAUGAGCUGGGGAGUUGGUUCUGUGAACGCCUAGCUGGUUUGAGAGGAAAACAGAAAGGUAAGGGUUGAGGGAGUGGGAGAAACAGAGGCUGUGGCACCACUUCAAACCAGGUGGCACCAAGAGCCUGUGUGGCAAGGGAGAGGGGAGGAGGGGAAGCAAAUUUCGGGACAAGAGGCACUGAGAGUGCCUCUGAUGACUUAGGGAGAUGCAGUAUUUUGAAUGAUUUCUGUUUUCCAGAUCCUAUAAUAGACUCAAUGAUAACCCCAGGGAAAUUCUAAUAAUGGCGAUGACACAUCCACAGGUGACAGAUUUACCAAGAAACCUAAGCUGCAGGGCCUGUCACCUGCAGGCCCUGCGAGGGGCACUAGCAAUUUUUGUAAUUGUUAUUUUGCAUAUAUGCACAAGCUUCAGGACCCACAAAGCUUAGGUUCACCCAUGGGCCCCUCCAUGGGCCUUGGGAGAGGACGUGCAAGUAAGAAACACCAGUUAAAGGUUCCUCAGCAUCACGGCAUCUCCAUCCCAUCACAACAUCUAACUACUGAAAGAAAUGAGCAUCUGUCUGAAGUUUCCACUCAUAUGCAUAUGUGUAUGGCAUAGACUUUUAGAUACUCCUAACCAACAGAAUAUGACCAACGUGAUGGGGUGUGACUCCCAGGAUUAUGCAGUUAUACAAGAUUUGGUCUCCUUGAAAGGUUUGAAGAAGCCAGCUACCAUGAGGUCUACAUCCACAAGGAAAUACAUUCUUUCCACACUUCGAGGCAAGAUUUGCCAUGGUGCCCAGGAUGGUCUUAAACUCCUAGACUCAAGAGAUCCUCCUGCCUGGACCUUCCAAGCCACUGGGAUUACAGCCAAGCUCAAUUCUUGGAAUGAAUAUCGUUAUCUGUGGCCAUAAGCAAUGGAAAACGCCUCCAUGUAAGGUGAUCCCUCUCAUUUUCUGGCAAUAAGCUAAAGAAAAGGUGACUUGAGCUUCUCAUGUGUUUUGAUCACUCAACGAAGACAGAACAGGGUGUUCCAUAACCUGAUAGUGGGAGAGCACAUUGAAAAAGGUGGCUCCUGCAUGUGCGCCAGCUCCUGCAAGUACAAAGGGUGCAAAUGCACCUCCUGCAAGACGAGCUGCUGUUCCUGUUGUCCCAUGGGCUGUGCCAAGUGUGCCCAGGGCUGCAUCUGCAAAGGGGCGUCUGAGAAGUGCAGCUGCUGUGCCUGAUAUGGGGACAGCUCUGCUUCCAGAUGUAAAUAGACCAACCUGCACAAACCUGGAUUUAAAAAAAAAAUAACCCUAAGCCGUUUGCUGCAUUUCUUUUUCUCUUAAAUAUAUUCAACGAGAAAAAAAUUCAGUGAAUACAUGAAGAAACAACAGGAAAAACGAAAGAUGUACAAACUUUGACGAUAUGAUGAUGUGGAAGGCAACCUCAGGGAAACUGGGAAAGGCAGCCAGGACCUCGGGGACCUGGCGUACCUCCAGGCGCACAGCCCUUUCUGUGAGAGCGAGCAGGCGCCAAAGGCACGGUCCCACGGUGUGCACCAAGCAGAGCUCAGGGAGUGGUGUGCCUGGCCCUCUGCCGCGCACAGCCCAGCCCGGCCCAGCCCAGGACCUCUUUUCUUGAAGAGUGGAGGAUGGAAGGGAGGAAGGCAGGGCCCUGUGUCUGGCCUGCUGCUGUGAAGAGAAGAAACGAGGCCGAAGGACCUGGAUGACUAUGAAGGUGGGUCGAAGGUCACAUGGGAGGCUGGUGCUGUGCACACAACUCCCUUGCUGCGCUUCCCACCUCGGUCCUAUCUAGGAACGUGAGCACUAGGCUGGGGCUGCCCACGGAUUCCCACAGAGGCGAACUUAGGUCACUGGUGCCGGGUGCGAGGGUGGGGAUACGGCCACCACCUGAGGCUGGGUUCCCGGACCGCCCAGGACAGGAGUGGACGGCAAUCUACGGGAAAUUCGGGAGGGCCUGGAUUAUAGUCAGGACGGCGCAUAACGCCGGGAGCACAGCCCCUUCAAAGCCAGCGAGAGCCAAAGGGCCGCCCUCAGGGUGCAUCCUGCGCCUGGCGAGGAUCCUGAGCUCGGCCAGCCUGCAGCGCGCAGUCAGGCCCUGAACCCGGGGGCGUUGCUGACACUGUGAGGGGUGGCUGCCAGACCUGCGCCAGGGCGUCUGGCCUGAUCCUGGGCUCUGCUCUGCCUCCCACCGGCCAGCCUGUUUUUUCGCCUCUGGUUUAGGAACUCCAGCCUCAUCUGACCUCCAAAUGGACCCCAACUGCCCCUGCGCAGUUUCGGGGCUUAGCGUCUUCAUUUUCGUACUACAGAAUAGAAGGUCCCUGGGGCAGGAGGCAGGUGCAUUUUGAGCUCUACCUAAAAUGGACUCCUUUGCUUUGCACUUCUCGAGCUUUCUCCCUGCCAAGCACCUUCAUCACUACUCAGAAGACCGCCAUCUUCUCACUGCCUCCCAUUUCUGAGGUGGCUCCUGCACCUGUGGCAGCUCCUGCAAAUGCAGAGGGCACAUGCACCUCCUGUAAGAAGGGCUGCUGCUCCUGCUGCUCUGUGGGCUGUGCCAACUGUGCCCAGGGCUGGGUAUGCAAAGGGGUAUCGGAGAGGUCCAGCUGCUAUGCCUGAUAUCAGAUGUAAAUAACACAACCCUUACAAACCUAGAGGUUUUUUUAAAUACAAGCAUAACCCAUUUACUGUGUCUGUUUUCUCAAGUGAAACAUGGGAAUGACAAUAAACAGUGUUGGCCUUAUUCUGCCUCAAUGGUUUUUUUGAGGGGUGUCCUGACAUAAGAGACCCCAGACCCAGUGGAGCUGGGAUCAUCCUAUAUACUGAGUGCCCUAAAGCAAGUUGGGUUACCUGUCUCUGGUCAGUUUCCUAGCUAAAAAUGUAAGAGCAUCAUGCCAGAUGAUUUGAGGGCACAGGAAUCAGUCAUGGACCAAAGCUUUGGUGAGAUAAAUAGAAUGAAUGAGUAUGAAAAAUAAAAAUGCAAAGUUCAUUUUUCAUAUUCAACAAGGAAAUCUCAAAGGGACAUUAAGAACAAAAUAAGAGAAAAAAGAACUACUAAUGCUGCACAUCUGUUGUAAGGUGUAGUGAUAUUCAGUGUCCAGGAAGGAGGAAGGCCCUGGGUGUCUUGUAAUUCAUGGUGACUGUUAGUUAUCUGGCUAUUUGGUGAGGCAGUUGCUGUUUGAGGUUCAAAGAGGCAGAGGAGUCAUGUGACCCAAGAGUAAGCAUCAUGCUGCCUUAAAGUGCUUUGUGAAUAAGGGAUUUCAGAAGGUAACCUCUGCUGUCCUUGUGCCAUGUUUUCUGUGCCCUUGUGUUUUACAUGACAUAGGGUGCUGGUUGAGGCAAUGACAUUGCAUGAGUGCAAAUUUCAGCUGUGUCAUUUAUACCUGGGUAGCACAACCUCUCUGUGGUUCAGGCUCCUACCUUGUUCCGUGCAUGAUAACAGGGUCUGGCUGGUGGGACCACAUCAGUUAAUUCAUAUAAAGAACUUAAUACAGCGUUCAGUGUGUCUCAAGUAGUCUGUAAUAGCUAUGGUUUUAUUAUCUUUAUUCACAGCAUAGGAGCAUUUUAGUACCUCCAGACAAAUAAGCCAGUCCUGAUAGGCUUAGCUGUGUGUCCCAUGUUGUUCCCAUCAAUAACAUGAGCAUACGACAUAUGGAUCCAAGAGGGAGCCCUACCCAUCCACAAAUAGGGAUCUACGCUGCAUAUAUAAAGCCAUAAGCAAGAUAGUCCAUGUCCGCAUAACAGAUGUGAAAGGAUUCUUGCCAUUUCUGCCAACCCCUGCACUGUUAUUUUCCUUAACAUUUUCCUUUAAAGAAUCCUAUUUCCUUAAUGUAUUUACAGAAAAAGCAAACUCUCUGACACUACUGAAAAUAAGAAUCAGUCACCUUGCAGACAUGGAAGGUAGCCACACAGUUAUAUAUAUCCCUCUAUAUCACUUCUGUUGCUCUCGGGAUUGACGUUGACAUUUGUUUCUGUUUAAAGAUUUCAAGCAGUGAAGAGGUGCUGAAGACAUAGCGAGGGCGAAGGGAAGUUUCAUCACUGACGUCUUAUCCUUGAAAAGCUGAGUGGUGGCUGGGUGCGGUGGCUCAAGCCUGUAAUCCCAGCACGUUGGGAGGCUGAGGUGGGCGGAUCACCAGGUCAAGAGAUCGAGACCAUCCUGGUCAACAUGGUGAAACCCCGUCUCUACUAAAAAUACAAAAAUUAGCUGGGUGUGGUGGCAUGCGCCUGUAAUCCCAGCUACUUGGGAGGCUGAGGCAGGAGAAUUUCUUGAACCCAGGAGGUGGAGGUUGCAGUGAGUCGAGAUUGUGCCACUGCACUCCAGCCUGGCCCCUGGCAACAGAGCAAGACUCUGUCUCAAAAACAACAACAACAACAACAACAAAAAAAAGGCUGAGUGGCUUCAAACCUGCAGCACUACUUUCACUCUCUGUCCUGGGCUAGUUACUUAUCUCU
Long non-coding RNA from Callithrix jacchus (white-tufted-ear marmoset), 6439 nucleotides. RefSeq lists it as uncharacterized. NCBI's taxonomy places the organism in Eukaryota, Metazoa, Chordata, Mammalia, Primates, Cebidae. The record is from RefSeq and is a predicted model, not a curated record.